AUGGACAGGGUAGAUCUCAGACAGACAAUCCACAGUGAGGUUUCUGGCACCCGGGGUGUGCAGUCCACACACAGGAACAGGAUGUUUCCAGCAGGAGGAGGAAGCACAAGGUUACACAGGCUUCAGAGUCAGGCUGCCAGGGAUCAAAUCCCAGCACCUCCUUUUUCCUGUGAUGGGGCUUGUUCAACUUCUUUGAUAUCUCUAAACUAGGGAUAACAACAGCACCCGCUUGAGACUAUUGGGUGGAUUGACUGAACUCAUCUAUGUAAAAUGCCCAGCACACAAUAAGCUUCAUCAGCUGUUAUAAUUAAGAUGAGGAAGCAGACGCAAAAAAGGCAACCAGGCAAAGUCCCUAUCGCCCAACCUACCCAGAAACCAACAGACCCCAGGGCACUUCGAGCUGGAAAGGGCUAGAAAGCUUACCACUUUUUUUUCUUUGAAGCUGAACACUUCUUUGAACGCUUUCUCUAACAUCGAUUUAAGGAUAUCUUUGAUCUUUGUGGAAACAAAGAAGAAUGCUUUAAGACUGCGCUUAGAAAUCUGGCCGUUUGGUUUUAAGGUCAUUGGCCUCUGCCUACCGUGCUCCUGAAUGAAUAGCUCAGGACUUCCAGGGCUACCUUUGGGCCAAAAGUUAAUAAUUUACAGCUGAGCAAGUGUAGGUAAACUGCCACUUUACAGCAAGCUUCUAAUCCCUCACUGAUCACUUUGAAAAUUACAAAGGACAUUCACUUCAAGUGUGAGCCAAUUCAGAAUCAACCUCAUGCUAAUUUGAUAUAAGCUGUUCACUGAGGGAAAAAGUCCAAAGGAGGUUCUAACUUAUUUUCUAAAUGGACAUCGUAUCAAAAUUAAAAAUUCAAUGACAGCAUCUUUUAGCUCAAUCAUAGUUAAGUAUAUAAUACUGCUGAAUUUAAAGUCAGCAGAGAUUAUCUAGACUUUACUAUGAAAUAUAGACAAGCUGUGCUUUUAAAAGGUUUAUUUAAAUUACUGAUUAUAAAAGUAAUCCAAGCCCAUUUGUGAAAAUUUGGAAAAUGUGGAAGAGUAUAAAGAAAAAAAAAACUACUCAUUCUAUGAGCACCGAGAGAUAAACGUUAUCAUGUUGGCGCACUUCCUUCUGGCCUUUUUCUCCAGAUCAGAGGAAGAGGAAGGGUGGUGUAUCUUCAUGAAACUACUAACCCAAACCCAGAACACAGCCAUCUCGCUACUAAAGUCUCAGAGAUAUUGAGCUUGGACUUCGACCAUGGGUUCUGGAGUCCAUUCAAUUCCCAGCCUUGGCCAUUCCUGGCUGUGUAAUUUCAAGGAAAUUACCUAAACACUCUGAGUUUUGAUUCUAUCGUCAAUAAAAUGAAGGAAAUGCUAAAAAAAAAAAAA
RNAcentral lists this long non-coding RNA (1368 nucleotides) under Homo sapiens (human). Its description in RNAcentral is "PRKCA antisense RNA 1 (PRKCA-AS1)". Lineage: Eukaryota; Metazoa; Chordata; Mammalia; Primates; Hominidae. The record is from RNAcentral.